Molecule: ribosomal RNA, 400 nt
Filed under: uncultured Agaricicola sp.
Lineage: Bacteria; Pseudomonadati; Pseudomonadota; Alphaproteobacteria; Rhodobacterales; Paracoccaceae
Description: bacterial SSU rRNA
Rfam family: Bacterial small subunit ribosomal RNA
Source: RNAcentral
GUGGGGAAUAUUGGACAAUGGGCGCAAGCCUGAUCCAGCCAUGCCGCGUGAGUGAUGAAGGCCUUAGGGUUGUAAAGCUCUUUCGCUAGGGAAGAUAAUGACGGUACCUAGAUAAGAAGCCCCGGCUAACUUCGUGCCAGCAGCCGCGGUAAUACGAAGGGGGCUAGCGUUGUUCGGAAUUACUGGGCGUAAAGCGCACGUAGGCGGACUUGUCAGUCAGGGGUGAAAUCCCGAGGCUUAACCUCGGAACUGCCUUUGAUACUGCAAGUCUUGAGGAUGAGAGAGGUGAGUGGAACUGCGAGUGUAGAGGUGAAAUUCGUAGAUAUUCGCAAGAACACCAGUGGCGAAGGCGGCUCACUGGCUCAUUUCUGACGCUGAGGUGCGAAAGCGUGGGGAGCAA